GGGCAUUGACGUCGGCCCCGUACUCGAGGAGGCAAUUGGAGACGUCGAUCCAGCCGUGGAUGGAGGCGACGUGGAGCGGGGUGCGGUUGUCGUAGUCGCGGGCGUUGACGAGUCCCGGGUCCUCCUCCAGGAGCUUCCGCACAGCCGACACGUCGUUCUGGUGAGUGUGCCACAGGAUCAGCGACGUUCGGCUCACCCUCGCCUUCUCCCUCUGCUUCUCCGUCGACGACGUCCCCGACGACCCACCGCUCGUCUCCUCUCCUCCGCCGCCUCUCAUCUGUCUCCUUCUCUCUCGCAGAUCGGAUCGGUGCGAUGCUGGCUCCCGCUACUUUCUCAGCGUCACUGGCUCCUGAACCCUGAAGAUGCCCUGUUCGAAGAGUGAAAUAUCUUUUGCCGUUGCUUUGGUUGGGUCUAUACGAUGGUCGCUGUCUCGGGAGUCGGCCGAGUCGACCCGGCCGGCGGAUUAAGAUCCGCGAUCCAGUCCUCGUGCACAAGGUUUGCUCUGGACUCCUGACGCGUUCUUGCUACGAUUUUGGUGU
This 539-nucleotide long non-coding RNA is filed under the name Elaeis guineensis (African oil palm). RNAcentral's name for it is "long non-coding RNA (EGUI_LNC007366)". Lineage: Eukaryota; Viridiplantae; Streptophyta; Magnoliopsida; Arecales; Arecaceae. The record is from RNAcentral.